RNAcentral lists this ribosomal RNA (997 nucleotides) under Cylichnium sp. TRO-2019. RNAcentral's name for it is "SSU rRNA". It matches the Rfam family "Eukaryotic small subunit ribosomal RNA", at positions 25 to 992 of the family's 1831-position model. Lineage: Eukaryota; Metazoa; Mollusca; Gastropoda; Cephalaspidea. The record is from RNAcentral.
CAUAUGCUUGUCUCAAAGAUUAAGCCAUGCAUGUCUAAGUUCACACUGUUUCACGGUGAAACCGCGAAUGGCUCAUUAAAUCAGUCGAGGUUCCUUAGAUGACACGAUCCUACUUGGAUAACUGUGGCAAUUCUAGAGCUAAUACAUGCCUAUGAAGCUCCGACCCUCGUGGAAAGAGCGCUUUUAUUAGUUCAAAACCAAUCGCUGAUCGUCUUCGGGCGGUCAGUGUCCCCACUGGUGACUCUGGAUAACUUUGUGCUGAUCGCAUGGCCUUCGUGCCGGCGACGCAUCUUUCAAAUGUCUGCCCUAUCAAAUGUCGAUGGUACGUGACAUGCCUACCAUGUUUGUAACGGGUAACGGGGAAUCAGGGUUCGAUUCCGGAGAGGGAGCAUGAGAAACGGCUACCACAUCCAAGGAAGGCAGCAGGCGCGCAACUUACCCACUCCCGGCACGGGGAGGUAGUGACGAAAAAUAACAAUACGGGACUCUCUACGAGGCCCCGUAAUUGGAAUGAGUACACUUUAAACCCUUUAACGAGGAUCUAUUGGAGGGCAAGUCUGGUGCCAGCAGCCGCGGUAAUUCCAGCUCCAAUAGCGUAUAUUAAAGUUGUUGCAGUUAAAAAGCUCGUAGUUGGAUCUCAGGUGCAGGCGAACGGUCCGGCUCGCGCCGGUUCACUGUUCGUAAUCCUGCCCUACUGGUCUGCCGGCUCUCUCCCGUGGGUGCUCUUCGCUGAGCGUCCCGGGUGGCCGGCGCGUUUACUUUGAAAAAAUUAGAGUGUUCAAAGCAGGCCUCGGCUGCCUGAAUAAUGGUGCAUGGAAUAAUGGAAUAGGACCUCGGUUCUAUUUUGUUGGUUUUCGGAACUGGAGGUAAUGAUUAACAGGGACAAACGGGGGCAUUCGUAUUGCGGCGUUAGAGGUGAAAUUCUUGGAUCGCCGCAAGACGAGCUACUGCGAAAGCAUUUGUCAAGAAUGUUUUCAUUAAUCAAGAACGAAAGUCA